Molecule: long non-coding RNA, 8309 nt
Organism: Oenanthe melanoleuca
Lineage: Eukaryota; Metazoa; Chordata; Aves; Passeriformes; Muscicapidae
Exons: 3
Source: RefSeq, a predicted model, not a curated record
UCAUACAGUCUGAGCAAUAAGCUCAUUUCUGACUGCCUCUCACUCACUAAUUAGCUAUUUACAAUGAGUAAUCGUGAGUUGUGGCUGCAACUACUCAAAAAAUAAGGUCCUAACCACAGUGACCAAAGGCAGUAGCAUGUGGCAUUAUGGGGUUAGGGGCAGAGGAAAUGUCCCAGUUCCUGUGCUCUUUGGUAUCCCUCUAGUGGAUAUGAGGAGAAGGACGGGGUGGGGAAAGGGAGACCCGACCACAAACCAACGUGUUGUGAUUGAAGUCAGUGAAGGAGUGACCAGGGAGUCUCUGCCAACAUUGAUAUCAGACAGUCAGUCCCCAGAGCAGCUGCUUACUGCAGUGCAGCUCAGUGAACAUGCACGGCCUCAUGCUGGAUGAGUGCCUCUGCCCAUGAGAGGUUGGCUGGCUGUGGCAGGUUUCCCAUGAAAAACAAAAGGGUUCCCAUGAGCUGAAAACCUGUGUUGGCAGCAGUAAAGCUGCUUCUGUUGCCCAGAAGUUUUGAGCCAUAGUAGUGAUUGGAGAAACAAACAGCCUGGAAGAGAAAACUCAGAAGAAAUGUGUUAGUUCCUUCCACAAAUUAAAAGAAAAAAGAAACCCCAGCAUGCUUUGUCCAAUGACGAGUGCCACAGAGCUAAAGCUAUCACAGAGGGAAUUUUAGAGUCUUGCCUUUCAAAGAGAGAUGGGUGCACCCAAGAACAGUGGAGGUGGGGACAACAAAAUGAGCAACAUACGAUAGUACUGCUGGCAGUCAAAAGGUCACUUUGAAGAGCACAAAGAUUAUCUAUCAGCUAUCACAUGAUUAACAUGUGAGUGUAAGCAGUCUCACCAUGGGAAAUGAACACCACUGUGUGCGGAGGGUGCUUCUGCCACUCACUUUCAUGCUGAAUCGCCUUUUUGAUUAAUUCUGCUGACACAAAGAAAAGGCACAUGGAUUUUUUUUUUUUUUUUUUUUUUUUUUUUGCAAGACUUGUCAACAGAAAGUGCAAAUGAAAACCUGUCUGUCAAUUCUCCCCCUUGUCCCUGUCAGCUGCUGGCUCUUUGUUUUGGGUAAUUUGAUGUGACCAUUGCUUCAGUAAAGCAAUGUAAGUCCUGCUGAGAGGGUUUUCCAUUUCUGACAAGACAUAUUGUUCAACAUGUAAUCCUGAUUUUUACAUUUGUCAUGAGAAUAACCUGGUAACCUCUACUUUAAAAGUUCUGUGGCUGUCUAAAUCUAAAGUUUCUUUCUUGGGCUACAGAAAGAGCACUUUGUAGACCUUCCUCAAUAGACUCAUCUGUGCCUGAUUGAGAAAAAUAUUGCUGUUAUAUUUUCUCUCAAAAUAUAUGGCUUUGCCCCAGAACAAAAUAUUCCUGACAAUAGAAAGCCCAGCUGCCUCUAGUGCCUUUCUCUGUAAAUGCCAUUACCAUAGCAUAAAAAUUUAAAUUUUCUAAGCAUAAAAUCUUCACAAAAUCAGGGUCCUUAUCACAGUGGGACCUCCAUUAUCCUGGAGAAGAAACCAGUAUUUUCUAAGAUGAAAUUAAACUAAAAGAACAUACUGGCCAUAUAUAUAUGCCAGGACCAGAGUGCUUUUCCAGCACUCUGAAAUCAUCAAACUGCUGAUAAAGUUAACAUUUUGGCAUGUUUUCUUCAAGUAAUGUCCCCACUUAGCAUAACUGUCUAUGAUUAGCUUAGUACUUCAAGAAAAAUAAAAAGUUUAACUGAAACUUUGGGCAAUGGUAACACCAUACAAGAAAUAAUAUAUUUUGAUCAAUCUCUGACACAAUGGAAUUUUUCCUUCUCUUUUUUUCCCAUUAGGAUGACUUUAUUUCAGUCUUCAGACAAGCUGAAAGACAGGAUAAAUGGUCUGUCCAUAGUGAAUUGUGGAAUGCUAGUCCUCUUCCUUACAGGCACAGACACCAUUGCAGAUCUGUGUUUUUAUUUUGUUUGGAGGCAUUGGCUCAACCACACUCAGUGCAAGAAAGUUCUGUAAGACUUCCUUAUAGGAAGGUACUGGAUAUUUUAAUGUACUUUACCAAAAUGUAGGAGUCACAGAGUGAAGCAUGGGGUUUGCUUGACUGUGACAGUAGAGAUCCCACUGCCAGCCUCUUACAAUCUGUGUUUGACCUGUCCUCUCUAACAACAGAUUAUUUCUUGAUAUAACUUACACUGAUUCACUUGUAGUUCUCAGAUAAUUCACAUAGCUUCCUGUUACUUAUAAAGAGGUGUGUGUUCACUUUAGUCUGGGGUUUAUUUUUGCCAGGCAAUGGAAUGAUGAGAUGCUGAAUGAAGGUUGUAGACUGGUGAUGGAGGAAAUUUUUAUCCCUCUACCGAGCUUUGGGUAGAAAAGUAGCAUAUAGAUGAAUUUUGCUUGUCUGCUUUCUUUUCAGAUUCUGUCUGGAACUGUUAAAAUGAGUAUUUUGCCCUUCUAACUUUUCAUUCUUAAGCCUCUACUAAUUGUAACAUGAAGCUGCUGAAACAUUUGGUGUUCGGCAAUCUUUUAUAUUUUUAUGAUUUCCUGGUAUUUCAGGGUGCAGAUGCACUCCUUGCCCUCAAGGUUUUGUGUAGAUCAGGCUGUCCUGACACAGCUCAAACAGAGACACAGCUUCCAGAGAUGCAAGAGCUCAGCAGAAUUUAGUUAAACUGUCCAGUGGGCCUCAGGACAAAUAAAUGAAAUAACUACUGCAGCAUCUCUGUGAUUAUUCAAGCCUGAAAGAUCUACUUACAAAGCUACAGUAUGAAAAGGAGAUGUGAUUGGCAUGUGAAAGUUUGUUCAUUGGCAGACUUCACUUAAAAAGUUUUUGAUUUCAUAAUGAAUUUUUUACUCUUUUUUUUGUUCUUUUUUUUUUUUUUUUUUUUUUUUGUUGCGAAACUUAAAAACUUCUAAAAUCAAAUUUUUGCUGCUUCUUAACAGUUUGCACUAAAAACUUCCAGCAUCAGCCAAAAAUUUGUUUUUUGUCCUGUAAGAGAUAUGUUCUACAGCAUACUCUUUAUUCAGUAAAAGCCCAACCAAAACAUAAAUGUUGGAAGAUUUUCAUGGUCCCUGAUAAUAGUCUGUUUCAAGUUAAUGUGAACUAUCAGCAGUUCAAUAACAAAGUGCACCAAAGAUGUGUUUUAAUUAAGUCUGAAAUGCUUUCACUUACAAGCUGACUUUGAAAUAAUAAGAGGGGAUUGAUGAUGAGAAUUGAAAUAGCAAAAAGAUGGAUUAAACAAUUUUUCAGUCUAGUCAACACUGGCCAGAAUAGUAAUUUACCAGUCUCUUUAGCAAGAUGAGCAAGAAGGAAUUAGAAUGAUUCCUAACUGUAUUCCUGACUUCAGAUGCAUUUUUCUCUGAAGUAAACAGUGAGAAAUAUGAUUAUUUGAAGCAGUGGUGAUGCUGAAGUCUGCAAAGAUGUGGCUUGCUUCACUUUUUUGGGCUCAUCCACCUCAAUUCUGUCAAUCUUCUCCGUAUAGGUUCUGACCUCUGAUUUUUUUUCUGCUCUGCUUUUUAAUAUUUCAAACUGUUCCCAAGCAAAUAUCAUGUCACCCUUUAGUGGCUUCAGUUCUGAUUCCUAUUACUCCUGCAUAAACAUGUGUUUCAGGAAUAACCACCAGGCCAAUAUUGUCACACUCAAGGAUGGCAUAAAGUUGAGGGUAAAGCAGAGAAUUUGCAGAAUUAACUUGUAUUUUUAAAGAGAUUUUCCUGUCUUUAAUGAAAAUGGUACAAAAGUGCGUAGAAAUGGAUAGAAAAAGUUACUGGUGGUAAGAGGUUAAAAACACGAAUAGGAAAAUUGUAUUUUCCCUCCUAGAGUGAUUCAGAAGAAGACAUAAUCCUGCUAUAGCAGAAGAGAUGUAACCUCCUAAAGAAGGAAAAAGCAUGAGAUGUUAAAUUGAUACUGAUGGAAUAACCUUCUCCUGAUAAACACAGGUCUAUAAAUAGAGGAGGUGUAAGCCUGAGAUUCAAAUAAACAAAAAAAAAGAAGGUAUUUUUCUUCUGUGACAAAACUCUUUCUCUGCUUUGUAUACACAUAUAUAGUCAAAUAUAAAUUCCCUUGCAGUUCGUUUGAAACCCAGUUUAUUUUUCUUCUAAUUAUAUACAAGGUGAAUUGCACAUGGGAGGGCAGGAAUAUUUUUGCAUAGAAACAAAUAGGGUGGUUGUUAUUCCUAGAGUGGAAGAUAAAGAAGUGGCUGUGUAUGUGUCAAUUCAGAAUGCACCAGAUGCACAGGUAAAACAAAGUAUUAAUGGUGGGUUCAAUGCACAUGUAGACCAUUCACUUAAGAGUUGGACUCGAUGAUCCUUGUGGAUCCCUUCCAACUCACUCUCUGAUUUUGUCAUACUUGCUUCUUACCUUUCUAAAUAACCUUAAAGCUGAACUACAUGACCAGGAGUUGCUUUCAGCCUUCCUGUUUCUCUUGAAACCCCUAAUGGUGUUCCCAAUCCAGAUUAAUUUAUCUGAAUCUUUUUAUGAAAAUAAGUGUCCUGACUGCUGCUGCUGAAGCAGAAUGGAACAGCAGGUCUUGUGCCAUUGGUAUUACACAAGGCAGUACAGACACAAAUGAGCAGUGUUACUAUGGGAUGAACUAAGGGGAUCUUAGAUAGAUAAUGCGACUGUAAUCUUCUUGUUGAGAAAAGACUAAUUCUGUCUUAGAUAUAUUGGUCAAAUCCUCCUAAAAUUAGUGACAAUCAAUACAAUCCUGGACAAUCAUUUACAUUGCAGUAAUGAGUGUCUUCUCCUUGAGAAAGUGUAUUUCAGGCAGGUUGCAUUGCUUAUAUGAGUAGUGACAUUGAUGAUGAUGGGGUCAGAAUCAUGUGUAAAUAAUGAUAAAUUAAUAUGGAAAUCAUAAUAACAUAUUAAUAGUAUGAAGUUUUGGGGGGAAAAAAGCUAACAGUUCCCAACAUUAGAGUUGGAUUGUAGGCCUGUAGCAAACAGUUUCAAAAAAUAUAUGUUAAUUUCUACAUAUUUAGUAUUAGCCUUUGCAGUUCAUCACUGGCUUGCAUUUUUUAAGCUUCUCUUUUUUGUCAGCCUGAUAAGUUAAACCUCUAUUUACAUCUUUGGAAGCACUGUCAGAGGAGGUAUUUUCAAAAUGCAAUGUCAGUAUUUUAAGGACACUGACUGUGUGCUGUAAACAAUCCCUCAGUUCCAUCUGGCUUGCUGUUUUAGUGCAUGCUUUAUCUCCAGCUGCAGAUGCAACAUGCAGUUCUGUAUAGGGAUUAUCAUAUCUGGCAUCAGAUAAUCAAAAUAGUUUACAGAGCUGAUUUUACAUUUCCAAUAUCCUUUUAAAGGCUAGAUUGUGCUGUCAUUGGCAUUUUUAGUUGUUUGAAAUUUUUGUUUGUUUGUUCCUAUAGCAACUCUAUUUUUCUGCCCUUGAGUCUUAAACCUGAGAGCUUUUAAUACAUAGUUAGUCAUAGAAAAUAGGCAUUUUUUAAUAUGUAUUUUGAUAGGUAAAAUUCUGGAUGUUCACUUUUGCAGGAAUUGGUGGCUUCAGCUUUAAACCUCCAGUCCAAAAAAAUGAUGUGUGCCGUGUGGAACGUGUUGGUGGAGCAUUUGGGGGGAAGGUACUAAACCAUCACUAUUUGUUGUAAUUGCAGUUUUGGCAGCCAACAAUGAAUCUUGGAUAGAGGCGUGAAAAUUCUCUGGCCUCUUGGCAACGGUAUUCACUUACUGUCUGAAAGCCAGAACAAAUGCAUGGAGGCAGUUUCCCUCUGGUCUGAUCUGUAUAAAUCCCAACAAUCAGGCCUCUCUGAGGCAUGGUGGCCUGAAUUUCACUCCAGAUAUUCAGUGAAAAUGGUUUUUAUCCUAACACAUAGGUAUGCUCACAGCCCUUUGUGCCACAGCUCUCCUGUACUUUGGCUUCCUUGCCUUUCCCUGUCCUGUCCAUUCUUCAGGGAGCUUGCAUCUCCCUGUUGAGAAGCUAAAGAGAAGACCACUUACUGCUCAUUUCCUCUACUUUGUUACUGUUGCCAAAAAAAACCAAAACCAACAAAAACCCAAGAAAAACUUGCUGAAUCAGCCUAACCUCAGGCAUGGUAGGUUAAUAAGAAACUAAAACUUAGAAUGGGCUGAUUAUUGCCACCACUAGGAGUUUGGCCAUGUACACAUAAUGUCACUUGUAAUCUGCAUCAAGAGGCUGUAAUAAAAGGGGGUUUUUCUAAUGUUCCUUUUAGGAGUCGGUGUCCAUUUUGUCCUGAAAAGAAAUAUAGAUGUGUUAUUCACUGGUGGACAGCACCCUGCCUUUGGAAAAUAAAAAGUGACAUGAGAAGAUGUAACCCACAACUAGUGGACUGCCCUUUUAUUCAAAUUUCAUCCAGAGUUACUGAAGUUAUUUGGAUAACCACCGGUGUGCUUUGCCUCUGCUUUCUUCAAAAUGAGGAUGGUAAGAAAAUGCACCCUCACCCUUGAGUUCUCAGUGUCUUUCCAGAGUAAUGCCUUCAAUUCAAUCUGCUCUUCCCAUGUCUUGCACUUCCCUCACUCCAAGGGCUGGCAGGACAGAGCAGUAGCCUGCUGGAGAGUACUUAUUUUUGUAGAAAGAGGCAGGAGCCAGCUUCCCUCCCCAUAUCAGUCCCAGCCAACUAUGAUUACACAAGUGUUUCUGCAGAAAGCAGGGCAAGAUGGCAAUGAUGACAUUAUUUCCUGACAAUAGCCACUUCACAGGUUUUCCAUUGCACUCAUCCUUUGGCACUGUAAAAGGAGAUACAUCUGGAGUUGCUUAAUACCUUGUCACUGGGCCCAAAUUUCUGUUUAUUUAUAAGUUAAAUAGGAAAAAAAAAGAAUAAAAAUUUAAGGUAGUAAAGCACAGGAGCAAUUAUGCAAUCAAGAACAUGAUUUUACCAGCUAUUCUCCCAUCAAUGCAUAUCCAGUCAGCAGGCAAACUAAAAAAACACUUUGGGAGACUGGAAAAUAGGAAACAUCUGAUGAAAUUAUGUCAAGGUCCAUUAAUUAAAGCUUUCAAUUUAAAAAGCCCCAUGGGCCUGAGUUUGAACAAAUCUGUUGUGCUCUGGACUAAAAAUUUCUCUAUGAAAAGGGACACAAAUUAUGUCAGGCAGACCUGCAGGCCCCUCUCUUCCAAUAGCAGCCAGGUAGGGACCCCUACCUCAGCCUGCCUGGAGAGUAGGGCUGGGAAUUCUGCAUCCAUCCACCUCUGCUUCCUUCUGUGCAGGAUAUCCAGCAGUCAAAGUGUUUCUCAGUGAUAGAACUUCUCAUAUUCGUAGAAGUUAUAACCAAGAUGGGCUAAGUGUUGUACAAAAGCUUGGUAACAACUUAGAACAUAAAUAAAGAUGAAUUUGUUAUCCAGCCACCAGGAGAUGAUAUACUAUCUCCAGGAAUGUAUUCAGAACUGUAGGCUUUCUUUGCAAACAUCACAGCCCCCAUGAUUCAAUGCAGUCUCAUUAAACUGUAUUGCAUAGUGGAACCUUGUAUUUCAGCUCCUGUAAUCUGAGCCUUUCAGGCUGGGAACUCACCUGUGCUGUGGAGAUGUGACCUUAAUUACCUGUUCCAUUACAAGAAUGCCACUGUUCACUAGAGGUAAGUUCGUUGAUUUCCCAACCUUUUAUAACUUGAGAAAAUUGAGAUAUGUGUGUGCAAUGACAUUUGCACGGCUGAUAAGGAACAUACAUUUAUGAAUUACAAUAAGUUUGUUUUCCCCUUAGCAAAAUUAUUUUUUAUAUUUUAUUUCGGUUUCCUAAAGGCAAACCUGGAACCUGUAAGCCACGGGCCAUUGAUAUAGAUUAGUACUGCUUUCCUAAGAGUCAGACAACCAGAUGACUCCUUCAGCCACUUACUGACUGCAGGCAUUCCUGCAAGAAAGAACUGUCAUACUUACACAUACAUACAUACAUAUAUAUAUAUGUGUGUGUAUAUGUAACCAUCUUGAUAGAACAAUAUAUAAGCACUAGUUCUCUUGUCCUGCCAAGUAAAAGACCCGUCAAUAAUGUGUUUUGUGCUGCACUGGAACAGUUCUGGAGUUACCUCAAGAACUCAAAAGAAUUUGCAUGCAAUUUUGAAAAUAUCUGCAACAAAGAGAAGAUCAGAAAUAGUACCAUUUUGUCACUCCUACAUCCAGUUUGAGAGUCACAACUGGUGUUAUCUAUUUUUUCUGUUUUUCCAGCAUAUGAAAAUCCCAAAGAUCAGAAUGAGACUGUACAAAUUAAUGAUGGGCAGUGUAUCCAUAUUUCAGUAAAACAGAGAUUCUAAAACUACAUACUGCCAAAUAUUUCUAGGCACAAUAUAUUACCAUCCCAGUUUAACUCUGCUUCCUGGCAGCCCCCUCAGGCUGCUCCACAUCAUCAGAUCUCUUUGAACCACUGUCAACUCUGGCCUCUUCCAGAGGAGGAAUAUAAUCGCUGCU